GGCGCGCAAAUUACCCAAUCCUAAUACNGGGAGGUAGUGACAAGAAAUAACAAUACNGGACUUUAAAUAGUUUUGUAAUUGGAAUGAGUUAAGUAUAAACCCCUUUACAAGUAUCAAUUGGAGGGCAAGUCNGGUGCCAGCAGCCGCGGUAAUUCCAGCUCCAAUAGCGUAUAUUAAAGUUGUUGCAGUUAAAAAGCUCGUAGUUGGAUUUCUGUUAAUAAUUUAUAUAUAAUAUUUUAUUAAUAUUUAUAUAGUAUUAACAUAAUUCAUAUUACUAUAUUUUAUAGUAUAUGAAAUUUUACUUUGAGAAAAUUAGAGUGCUUAAAGCAGGCAUUAGCCUUGAAUACUCCAGCAUGGAAUAAUAUAAAAGAUUUUUAUCUUUUUUAUUGGUUCUAAGAUAAAAAUAAUGAUUAAUAGGGACAGUUGGGGGCAUUUGUAUUUAACAGUCAGAGGUGAAAUUCUUAGAUUUGUUAAAGACAAACUAGUGCGAAAGCAUUUGCCAAGGAUGUUUUCAUUAAUCAAGAACGAAAGUUAGGGGAUCGAAGACGAUCAGAUACCGUCGUAGUCUUAACCAUAAACUAUGCC
This 585-nucleotide ribosomal RNA is filed under the name Cryptosporidium ubiquitum. RNAcentral's name for it is "SSU rRNA". It matches the Rfam family "Eukaryotic small subunit ribosomal RNA", at positions 431 to 1043 of the family's 1831-position model. Lineage: Eukaryota; Apicomplexa; Conoidasida; Eucoccidiorida; Cryptosporidiidae. The record is from RNAcentral.